UUUUACCCUUUUUUUUCAUCAAUUAAACACUUUCUCCCACUCACAUCUCCCCUACUUCCAAUGUCACUGGUGAAUUCCCUUGUUGACUAUGUCACAAAAGUAUGCUUCUACAUUUUAAAUUCAUCACAUCUGGGCUCUGUCAUUCUUCUGAGGUGUUCUUCCCCCCCCCCCCCAAACCAAUCUUUUUCAUGAUUUCAUAUAGUACAAUACAAUUCCAUUACAUUCAUACAGCAGUUUGUUACAAUAGAGAUAUGAAAAUGACAAUCAGAACUAUUUCACUUUUUUUUUUUUUUUUUUUUUUUUUUGUGAAGUCAUCCUUUUCUGUGUAAAUUUGGAUGUCAUUUAUUUCCCUGGGUCUUCAUCUAGAAAAUUAAGGAACUAAAUUAUAUGAUGUCUAAGGUCCCUUCCAUCUCAAAAACUUUGUAGCCUAAAUUAGAGAGUUAGGAAAUCAUAGCAACUGCCCUAUUUAUUCUUAAGGAUCUCUGCAGAGUGACCUUAAAAACAAUCCUUUCUGGUUUUGCUUCAUGGGUGAUGAGACAGUGCAGAAAUUGCUUGUUUAAGAUUGUCUAGAAACUAGCACUAAAAUCCAACCCUCCUGAUUACCAGUUCAUCUUUCUUUCCAUGAUACUUCUUAACUUGGUCCCUGUAAAUUCCAUCAUUUGGGGGAACUUUAAUUCCAUCUUAAAUUUCACUGAAGAAAGUCUGAGUGUUUGCAGGGGAAGACGGAGGUAGGGACAUCAGGAAAGCACAGAAGGGUUACUGUGAGAGUUUUUCUCAUUUUAACAAGGAAAGCCUGUAGAAGUUUACUGGAGAGCUCUAAUCCCUUUAAAGUAUAGCAUUUCACAUUCCCAAAUCUUGUAUGUAUUGACUUAUGUGUACAAGACUUCUUUUGUGUUCCCUCUCCCAGAAGCAAGUAGCUAGGAUCUUAUGUUUGGUACUGGAAAGAAAAAUUGAGAUCAUUUAAUAAAAGCUGUCCAUUUUUAGUAUCUUAGGAAACAGGCGCAGAGAGGUGGAUUAACUCUCCCUUGAGCAUAUUAUGGGUGGUUAGCAGAGGUGGGCUUCGAAAGUCAGUGCUCAGCUUCUAUUCUGAAUCUCUCAUGUUGGGAGCUCACCACCUCAUUUCCCAAACCACCACUCCAAAUUCUGAGAUAAGUUGUACCAUCAUCCUGCAAUGAUUCUGUAUUGUUAGUCAUUUUAAAGCCUUUUUGCAUAGUGCUUUGGGGAGUCCACUGAGCCAGUGAUUUGUUGAUUUAGAAUUCUGAUGUAAAGGGCUGAUGUACCGUCUGACACUGGAUUCAUCUGGGCCAAAAAGUUCGAUGGGGUUUAGAAUUUUAAAAAGUUAAAGCCAGAUUUAUUUUUCUUGAAUAAAAGUGUUAUCUUUUUUAGGAAAAUAAUCUUGCAACUUGAAUCAGAUUAUUUCCCAGCUUGGACUGAAUUUUACAUCCUUAUUGGAGUGUGUAAUAUAACUUUGCUAGUAUCCUUGCAUUAUGUUUGCUACCUCACGUUCUUUAUGUAAGAACAAGUUUCCUGCAAUUAUGCUUUUGUGUUGGUUGUACUGUUCACUGACCUCUUUGGAACUCUUUUCUUUCUCCCUUUUCCCCACCUUGACACUCAUCACUGUUACAAAUAAAAAUUAUUGCUAAAAGUCACUCGAGUUUUCCUUGGAAGGAAAAAUGAAACAAUCUUUAGC
Molecule: long non-coding RNA, 1690 nt
Filed under: Sarcophilus harrisii (Tasmanian devil)
Lineage: Eukaryota; Metazoa; Chordata; Mammalia; Dasyuromorphia; Dasyuridae
Description: lncRNA (ENSSHAG00000020679.1)
Source: RNAcentral